RNAcentral lists this long non-coding RNA (2598 nucleotides) under Homo sapiens (human). RNAcentral's name for it is "HSALNT0036177". Lineage: Eukaryota; Metazoa; Chordata; Mammalia; Primates; Hominidae. The record is from RNAcentral.
ACCCCUAGUCCUCACCUGAGACCCUAAGUCCCUCUGAAGCCAUGUUCCCUGCUCCUUAAUCCCCCAGCUGUGCUCGGGCCGCCUGUGCCCACCAACAGAGGCAGCAUAGGCACUGGUCGUCAGCACACGCCAGCUUGGUGACGCCAUGAGCCACACAGCCGCAGUUAGCCAUGGCUGCAGGCUCCUCCUUCAUAUGUCUUUCCUGACUGCAGGGAUUGGAUUCAAAUCAUGGAAUCGUGGACCCACCACAUGGUCACAGUGCAGCCUCAGCAGCGAGUGAAGCUCGCCAGACCUCCUCCGGAAAGCAGGGCCAGUGAAGGUGUCCAGCACUGGGGCUGCAGGGACUCCCUGGGAAUGUAAGCACCACGGGAGUGGAGCCUUUGUCUUGUUCUCCUACCUAUACCAGCAUGGCACAGAGGAGGUGCUCAAUAUACCAGGUCUUCCUCUAACCUGAGCUCGCCUACAAGUGGCUCAAGCCUGCCCUGGACUCCUCACAGGAAUCACAGCAUUCUGCUGAUGGAGCUCACGGCCCUGACACAGCCCACCAUGGAGACGGUGGCCAGGUGCCACUCCACCCAGGCACCACUUACCUGGGGACGUACAGGUGGAUGUCCAGGCAAACAGGCCACUUGCGGGGUCUCUGGUCCCAAUGCCAAUGGAGAGCCGGUUCUGGGUGAGGAAUCGGGGCUUACAAAGCCGGUUUGGAUUUCCCUGCAGCCCAAGCCCCCAGCCUGAGAGGGAGGCCCUGCCGCUCACACUCUCCGCACACACCCCGGGGGAGGAUGUCACACCCCGCCAGGGUUUCUCACUCAUGGAUGGGGGGGGUUCAUCCUCUGCCAGGUCUCCCAGAGCCCCCUGGGGUGGCCCUGGUGGCAGGACACAGGCAGAAGGCCCGAGGACAGCCGCUUACCUGAAUGCCCCAGCAGCAGCUCUGAGGCCCACGGUGGGCCAGGCCUGCCCGGAAGGCCUGGUGUCUGCUGAGCUCCGGCAAGCAGGCUUGUCUGAAACUAACCUAUUUCCUGGAUGCGAAGACAGGAAAGGGGGCUGUGUUUGAUGUUUACAUCAAAGUCACAAAGUGCUGUGCUCAAGGAAAAUCACAGGCCACGUGCUCCAGGGAGGCAGAGGGCAUUUCCGGGGCCCAGCACUGCCUGCCCAGCUGCAGGAUGGGACUGAGAGAUGGGAAUGAGGCUAAGCAAAGGCAGGGUUUCAGGAAGGACGACUCCAGCAGCAGGAACCGUCAGAAGGGAGGAAGCCUGCAUACCUGGAACCGGAGGGUAGGCAGCAGUGGUGGGAAGGAGGGGAGUCCCAGGGCUCAUGGAAACUGGAAUGCCCCCAUUUUCCCCUCAAAGGGGCGUCGCCCUGGGGCCUGCACCAGCUAGACAACCCAGAGGAGUGAUUUGUUUAUUCCACAGGCAGGUUAGAGCUGGAGGGAGGAGAAACCCACUGAGUCAGCCCAUACCCCGAAGGUGAGAACCCCUUCUGUGCCAGGCAUCUGGAUGGCAAGGACAGCCUGCCCUUGCUCUCCAGUGGCUCGCAGGCUUGUUGGGGGCAGCUGAGUCCACAGGGAGCCAGGGCUGGGAGGCCGGAAGCCUGGGCACUGUGUGUCCCCAGAGUAUCCCCAAGCCAGCCUGGAGGAUGUCAGGGAUGCGUUCCAGGAGGAGUCAGCCACCCAACCGAGACACAGAGCCAGGGCAUCCCCAGUGCUAGCCCGGCCCACCUGGGACCUUUCCCACGAAGCUGAACCUGGCUGAGUGCCAUCCCGCUGUGGCCACCACCUCCUCCUCCUCUUCCUCUCCUCCCUUCCCUCACCCUGUGCACCCCCUACCCUUGGGCCUGGGGCCACACCUCAUGCACUCUCUCAGAGAGGGGCCUGCAGAGCCACUCCCUCGGCUCCAUCUCCCCUCUAGUGCCCCAAGGCCUCUGGGAGCCCCUUGCCCACCACCUCCUUGCUUUCUUGGGCACUAAGGGAGUCGUCACAGCUCUCCUGUCUGUGGGGCCUCAGAGACCUGUGUGGAACUGCCCUGGGCCCACUGUGGAGACUCCUAAAGCUUUUCUUCUUGGGGUCCUGCUGCCCUUGUUAAGUGGGCUUGUGAUACCCUACCUUGUUUUAACCUGAAUUGACUCUCCCUUAGCUAAGAGAGCCAGACAGACUCCAUCUUGGCUCUUUCAUUUGCAGCCCCUUACCCACCCCGCUUCCUCAAGGACUUAAUUUGUGCAAGCUGACUCCCAGCACAUCCAAGAAUGCAAUUAACUGAUAAGAUACUGUGGCAAGCUAUAUCCGCAGUUCCCAGGAAUUCGCCCGGUUAAUAGCACCCAGAGCCCCGGCGUUUGUGUCCGGUUGAUAACGCCCAAAGCCCCGUGUCUAUCACCUUGUGAUAGAUUUUAAGCCCCUGCACCUGGAACUGUUUGCUUUCCCGUAACCAUUUAUCCUUUUAACUUUUUGCCUGCUUUACUUCUGUAAGAUUGUUUUAGACCCCCACCUGUCCUUUCUAAACCAAAGUAUAAAAGAAAAUCAAGCCCCUUCUUUGGGGCUGAGAGAAUUUUGAGCACUAGCUGUCUCUCAGUCGCCAGCUAAUAAAGGACCCCUGAAUUCGUCUC